Molecule: long non-coding RNA, 2099 nt
Organism: Salvia splendens (bonfire salvia)
Lineage: Eukaryota; Viridiplantae; Streptophyta; Magnoliopsida; Lamiales; Lamiaceae
Exons: 3
Source: RefSeq, a predicted model, not a curated record
UACGAAGAGUGAAAUUGUAGAAAAAUAAAAAGAGAUUUGUCACGCGAUGUAAUAAAAAGAGGUCCCGGUAAUAAAAAGCACAGCCCUAAAUCUAACGGCUGGUGCUCAUGAUCCGCGCAGAGAUGCCAUGCGGCAUCCAUCGGGGGCAGAAGGUAAGUAACGGGCUGGACUGGAACUUGGGCUGCCCUCACAAAAGAUCGGGCCGAACUCAUUUAAUUAAAUCUGGCCAAGCCCAAUUGAAUAAAAUGCGAGCCCAAGUCAAUAGGUCCACUAAUAUUCAACAGUUCAUAUAAAAAUCGACUCAUCAUAUUUUGAACACGACCCAAUCUUCCUAAAAUGAAAAUCACGACACUUUUUUAUGUAUAUAACUUUUAUAGGCAAAUGAAAGUUGAAGGAAAUUUUGGAAUAUGAGGAUUUAUGGAUCCACACUAACAAUAUGACUAAUCACAUCUGUUAUGCAUGAGUUUAUUACCAUUAAAAUUACAAUACCUGCCUCUGUUACCGGCUAUAAAUUGACUAGUAAUUUGUUAUAAUUAAAUAUAUGUAUAAGAUGGAAAACAAAAAUAUAGGGAAAGGGAAAUUGUGUGUAACUGGUGGAAAUGGAUAUGUUGGAUCUUGGUUGGUUAUGAGACUUCUUCAACAUGGCUUUUAUGUCAAUACAACUGUUAGAUCUAAUACAGGUUUGUUUCAUUUUCAAUUUUUAGAUUUUUUUCUCUUCCACACACCAUUUAAUUAGAUUAUUUUGAUUCGAGUGUAAAUCAUUAUUAUUAAAAAUAUUGAUAGAGAAAAACAAUUUUUUGAGUGAGUAUUUAUUUUGAGUGUGAGAAUGUAACUCAUAAUCAAUAUGCUUCAAAAAUUUCUCUAUUUUUACCCUUCAUGCAAGCUUACAUAGGAUUUGAACCACCGAUCAAGUAAUUAACAUGUUUAAUGACAUCCACAAUCUUGUUGAAUCUGGGUAUAAAAUAUGUCUCAAAUUCAUUUUAAAAUCAAAACUUCCAACUUCAACGUAAACCCGAAUUUUAAAAUCUAAAUACUGAACAAUGAAUCAGCUCGCCAGAUUCUUGGAUGAAUUCUUUCGUUGACCUAAGAAUCUGACAAGGCGAGCCAUCAUUUAUCACAAGAUCUUUUAUCACACAUGCUCAAAAUUAUUAUUAUUGAUUAUUUUUUCUUUCACUUAAUUAAUUGAUAUAUAUAUCCAUGCAAACACAAACACACACUAGAAGUAGGGUUUCUCAAAGAUCUACCAAGCUCAGCAGAAAGGCUUCAAAUAUUCGAGGCCGAUCUCAACCACCCCGACACUUUCCGAGCCGCCAUCGCCGGCUGCAUCGGCGUCUUCCUCGUCGCUCAUCAAAUGCCCACCGACACAACCACCGGCGACACCUCCACCACUUCCACGCUAGCCAUUCUUCAAGCUUGCCUCGUCGCCAAAACAGUCAAACGAGCCGUCUACACUUCCUCCGCAGUCGCAGCCAUCUUCUCCGCCAAAAUCUCCACCACAAUCGACGAGGAGUCCUGGUCCAACCUCGACCUCGUGCACAAAUCUCCGCCCCCGGUGGCUGCCUACGCGGCGGCCAAGACCUCAACGGAAAAAUCCGCGUUAGAAUUCGGAGAGAAACACGGUCACUCUGCUUCCUACUUACAUACACGGCCCCUUCAUCGCCCCCCGCUGCCCUGCUUCUGUCUACACGCUCGUCUCUAUGCUACUCGGGAAUGCUGACUCGUACAAGUACUUAGCGGGUUCGGUUGAUGUUGUGCACGUUGAUGAUGUGGCGAGCGCGCAGAUUUUCCUUUUCGAGUCGGGUGAUGCAAAAGGGAGGUAUAUUUGUUCGGCUGUCGGAACUACCAUUGAUGAAUUGUAUCAAUUGCUCUGUAGAAAAUAUCCUCACUAUCAAAUUGCGCCUCCUGAUUGUUCUAUGGGGAGAGCAUCUGAGAUUUCGUCACAGAAGCUUCUGGAAACAGGGUUUAAGUAGAAGUAUGGUUUGGAAGAUAUGUAUGAUGGAGCUAUUGAGAGUUGCAAAAAGCUUGGACUUUUUUAGUUUGGCAAUAGAAAAUUAAUGUGUGAACAUUUAUAAGAUUUAAGUGGUAUUAAUUCUAUAUUA